GGAGGCGGGCCGGCCAGGCCGGUGCCAGGAAGAGAUGCUUCGGGUCGGCGGGAGGAGGAGGAAGGCGGGAGGAGGAGGAGUUGAGGAGCCCGGGCCCGGGAGCCUCCCCGCUUACCACACUAGGAAGUGACGCUUUCCCUGAGUCCCGGAGAGAAAGAAACAAAGUUUGGGUUGGUUAUUUUACCCCUCCUCCUCCUCCUCCCCCCACGGCUUUGCUAAUCGCCGCUCUGCGGCCCCCCGCCGUGCCUCGCAGCCCAGUGUAAAAGCAAUGCAAAGUAUCGUAACGCUUCAGUAUAUUUGGAGGCAAGACACAGUAUCUUCUGGGAAUUACGGUAUCAGAACUGGUUUUGUGCUUUAUUCAAAGGACCUGUAACUAAGUGGACCCUACUGACCUCUGAACCACAAAGGAUAAGAGUGAAAAGAAGUGGGAGAAGCACACGAAGAAAAAGGAAGUGGAUGCACUUUCAUCUGGACUUCUUUCCUGCCCUUCGUUACUAAAACUGAAUGGAAAAAAGAGACUUCCGUGCCUUUCCUCCCCCAGCCUCAGGGAUGGGUGGAUUGUAAAUACAGUGUGUGCAGUUGGGAGAAUAGACUGAACCAUGAAUCUCCAGGCUCAGCAAAAGUCUUCAAGCAAAAGGACUGGGAAACGAGUUGCGUAUUUUAAUGAGCAGGAAAUAGCUGUGUCAUCAAAAGAACCACAGCAGCAGCUUAAGGAAGGACAGUACUAUGGUCAUGGAGGGAAUAUACCAGUCUCCCAAACUGUGGAGAUUACUCACGCAGGAGGAUUAAGUGCCCCCAACAACGUUGCUUUGAUGAACUCUCUUUACAGUCAAGAUAGGGGAGAAUCAAUGAUGAUGCCCCAGACGGUAACAGCUGUCAAAUGGCAGAAUUCACUAAUGGGAAAUCGGUUGCCAGAGAGGGGUGACAGUCACUGGCAGUCUCCACCUUCGAUGUGGAACCACAAUAUGGUUUUUGGGGGCAACCCAAAAGGGCCCCACUCCAAUGCUGGUGCCCCAGGCUUCUAUGGCCACCCAGAAGCCCUUAAAAGAAAUCAAGAGAAAGGAGUGUUUGUGUCACAGCUGGACUUGUAUGGAGAUGCUGUCCAGCAGAUGAUGUCCCAGAAGGCUCAGCUGGAACAGCAAGCCCUGGUUAGACAGCAAGCUCAAAUGAAUUCUUUUCAUCAGAUGCAGAAACAGCAGCAGCAGAAUCAAAGCCUGCCAUUACAGCCUUUCCAACUUGCAUUUGGUCACCAAGGCCAAAAGCAGGGUCUUCCUGAACUGUUACAUGUCUUUCAAGAAGCCCCAGCUUCUUCCAGUCCAGCAUUUACUGCUCAACAAAAACAGCAAGCUCUUCCCCAGCUACAACUGUUUGAAAAUUUCUAUCCUCAGCAGCAGCAACAGGCUGCUACACAAGCCUUCGGUCUGCAGCAAACUACUUCCAUAGCACAGCCUCAUGUGGCAGCUGCAGCACCUCAGCAUCACAUGAUGGCACACCAGUUUCAGCAAACAGAGAGGAACCAGGAGCUAUUCAAGGCUCUAACAGAGCAGAACCAACAGACUGUGCUACCUCAGACCCAGAUUCCCUUUCCAAGAAGGUCACGGAGACUCUCCAAAGAAGGUGUCCUGCUGACAUCUGCAGGAGAAGUGUUGGCUUCCAAGCAGGCAGAAGAACAACCUAGCAAUUUAUUUCUGCAUCACUGGCAAACACAUCAGCAAGAGGUCCCGUUACAGCAGCUGCCUGAAUCACUGGCCCACAACAAAAGUAGCUAUUCGCACCCCAAGAGAAUGGAUCUGGGGCAAAAGGAUGUCCUGGUCAAUAGUCAGCUGUGCCAGGUGGAAACAGACAGGCAAGCCGCAGCCCAGAAUGGUAGAGAAGGGGAGAAACAGGCAGCAGCAGCUGAAGAAAACACUCAGAGAACUAAUGAUUUUCAGGGUGUCAGAGGUGGUGUAAUCCAAAGUACUCGACGGAGACGGCGUGUUUCUCAAGAAGCCAAUUUGCUAACUUUGGCCCAAAAAGCUGUUGAGCUGGCAUCUCUUCAGAAUGUAAAGGAACUGGAUACUUCAGAAGAGAAGAGUGUUCUGAUAGCAGCUCCAGGACCCACAGCAGCAAAAAGCGUUGUGGAGUUCGCCAGUUCUUCACCAGCUCCGAAAAGAGCUCGGGAGGAUAACAGCCUCGUGCCUCUUAUCAUUCCUGUGUCUGUGCCAGUGAGAAAAAUUGACUUGCAAAGCCUUGGAAAGGAGAAGUCUGAGGAUGGAAAGCUCCAGAGAGGCCAAACAAAUGAUCGAGCUCCUUGUGAACGCAAGCCUUCUGUGAUAGUCACUCGGAGGCGAUCUAAUCGUAAUACCAACACGGAAACCUCAAAUCAGCAUGAAGAUGCAGUUCCAAAGGAUGAAGCAGAGGGCUUUGCCCGGAAACCAAAGCAGCGGCCAAGACCUGAACCACUCUUCAUACCACCAAAAGCUGGCACCUUUAUUGCACCACCUGUUUAUUCUAACAUUACUCCGUAUCAGAGCCACUUAAGGUCACCUGUCCGUCUGGCAGAUCAUCCUUCCGAUAGGAACUUUGAGCUACCUCCUUACACUCCUCCGCCAAUUCUUAGUCCAGUGAGAGAAGGAUCUGGGCUGUAUUUUAAUGCUAUUCUCUCUUCAAGUGGUCAUUCGGUUCCACCUCCAGUGACUCCUAAAAGUGCUCACAGAACUCUGCUUAGAUCAAAUAGUUCAGAAGUUACCCCUCCUGUUCUUACGGUAGUGGGGGAAGCCACCCCAGUCAGCAUCGAACCGCGAAUAAAUGUAGGAACUCGCUUUCAAGCAGAAAUUCCAUCACUCCAAGACAGAUCGCUGGCAGCGGUUGAUGAACAUAAAGCAGAGCUGGUGUGGCAGCCGUGGGGUGACCUGGAAACCAACAGAGUCACCCAAGAGAAUGUGGAAAACCUGCUAGCUGCUGCCUGUUCAAGCAUUUUUCCUGGGGCUGGAACCAACCAGGAGCUGGCGCUGCAUUUCUUACAUGAAGAAAAGGGAAGCAUUCUGGGAGCUUUGACCAAACUGCUGUUGCAGAGGCCAGUACGAUUGCCUACCCACCCUUUGGCAGAUUAUCACUACACAGGAUCAGACAAGUGGAAAGUUGCUGAAAAAAAACUUUUCAACAAAGGCAUUGCAAUCUACAAGAAAGACUUUUUCUUGGUCCAAAAGCUUAUAAAAACCAAAACAGUGGCUCAGUGUGUGGAAUUCUACUACACGUACAAAAAACAGGUGAAAAUUGGUCGGAAUGGGACCUUAAUCUUUGGGGACAUUGAUGGUGCUAAUGAGAAGUCUAUGAAAGAUGAAGCUGAAGUUGACAUCAAGAGUUCCCAUAGGUUUGCACGUGUUCUUCCUCUCAGAAGGGACACUUACAGUGAAGAACAGGGGCAUGUGGAGGAGGAGGAAGAGGAGGAAGAAGAGGAGGCAGAGGAAGGGUUAGAUAACAGAAAGAGCACAGUUCCUCUCAAAAAUGAACAGACACUACAAGAUGGUGCUAAUGAUGCCAAUAUGAGGAGUCAGGAGGCAACUGUCACAGGCAGAAUUGGAAGGAAGCCAAGGGAGACAACAGUGAAGCCUCGAAAGCCAAUUACUGCUCCAGUGCAGAGGAGGAAGCGGAAACAAAAGAUAAAAUCAGAUGCUACCAGUAAAACUCAGAACACAGAAAACACAUUUCCAUGUAAAAAAUGUGGCAGGGUGUUUUACAAGGUGAAGAGCCGCAGUGCUCACAUGAAAAGCCACGCGGAGCAGGAAAAGAAGGCGGCUGCACUGAAGCAGCAAGAGAGAGAGGAGGCAGCAGCAGUGGCAGCAGCAGCAGCAGCCCACAGCCAGGCCCGGCAGGAAGAGAGCAGCGAGAGCGGGAGCAGCACCAGUGGAAGCAGCAGUGUGAGCUCAGAUGAAGAUGGAGAAAUAUAGCAGCAGACCAGAAGUGGAGGGAGUAGCAAGGCUGGACCCAACCUCCCUCAUGGUGGUCUCACUUUUUUUGCUUGCACUUUUCUUACCUGAACCAUCAGGUCUCAGUUUCAGUGCUGCCAUUUCCUCACACCACAUGUUCCACAUCACCUUGCCAGUACUGACCAAGCCGGAAUGGUGGAUUAAAAGUUUUGUUUCAAAUUGGAUUUUUUUUUUUUUAAACAAAUAAGACUUCUAUUCUAUUUAUACCUGAGGUACACAAUAGAACAGUGUCACCUGCAGUGGAACCAAGAAGAUAACGGGCGGAUGCAGCUUCAGUUGCUUUACGGCAGUGGUGAGAGCAUGUGUGUCCCAGCCCAAGCCGCGCGCGGUCCCAGGCGGCCAGCAACAACCGUGAGGGCGUGUUAGAUUUGUGGGAAUGGUUCUAAGUUGGCUUCUGCGCUGUGAAAGAGGCCAGCUGGGUUCUGGUGCUGCCUGAAGCAAAUACAAAGGCAGGGCAGAGUAACUUGGUACCUGAGGGGCCUGGAUCAAAUCUGAAUUCCUGGAUGCCUGUGGCUGGGACAGAAAGUAGAGACUGGAAAUCUAGAGCUGGAUAAAGAAUUAACCUUUUCCUGCUGUUUAGUAGCUGAAUCUGCUGGUUGUAGAAACAAUGACUGCAGAUGCAAAUCAUACUGCAUCAUAUUUUUCAACGGUAGAGUUUAAAAAAAAGUUUUAGUAAGUACUCUCUUAAAGGCACUUGUCUGUUCCCUGAAUCUACAGAGGGGCUUUAAAGCCUAUUUUAUUAUACAGCAUUAACCUGUUUCCUCUUGCAGUAGCUAGAUCUCUUGCUGUGGAUUUUCAAUAUGAAUAUGCUUCCAUCCAUCUUCAAAACAAAGGUUCAUUCUGUUUUGGUAGUUAAAUCUUUUCAGUGUACCAGGCUACUGUUUCUCACACAUAUGGGUGUGAAGUCUUUAAAAACUGCAAAUGUUUCACUACAUGAAGCAGAUGGUAGAAACAUGUAUCAGUGCCUGACUGGCCGCCUCCUCAAUUCCAGCUAGAAGCUAACGCACACCGGUUUUCUUUUUAGUUGCUCAUUUAUACUGACAAAUUUACAUUUCAACAUCCUGGGCAAAGCUGGAAGAAGGAGGACUCAGCCCAAGACAUUAAACUGCUUUUUUCAGCCCUUGCUUUACUCAGCUCCUGUGGAUGUGGCUGUUGACCAGCAAAAGCGUUUGGAGAAGUAGGUGGUGUUUUGCUCAGUGGGAAAAAGAGCCAGGGAACGGGGAAGCCUUCGCUUCAGCUAGCAGCCUGCGACACUGCUUAAGGCUUUAAAUACCCCCUGCCAAAGCCAGCUGGCCCAAGUGCUGGAGGUUGACUGCCUGGCACUAAAGCUGUGGUGCCACACACGCAAGCCUUGCAUGACCAAAAAAGUCACAAGUUUUGGGUGUUUUAAUUUUCAUCUUUUUUUUUUUUUUAAUUGGAGGAUCCAAGCCCAAGCUUCUGGAAGUUAUUUCAGCUACUGAAAGAGGCCUUACUGAUCACUAAAGUGCUUUAUAAGUGUUGAGAUAGUGGUAGUGUGGGGAAUUCCGCAGUAAUUCCUUACAUGUUUUUUAAAUAGCAUUACAGUGUCCUUGCCAGGGCGCUGUUGUCAUUAGUGAGCCUGACCAGCCCCAGUGCGGGGGGAAGCUUGUUCUUUCUAUCUGAGUUUUGAAAACUUCAGCCUUCAAGAGCCAGCAUCACUGAAAUGUCAUUUUAUUACUUCAGUUUUGUUAAUCAAUUAACCUCUUGUCCUGGUUUAAUGGAAUUGAUAGUUAACAGAACUUUAAUUUGCUUUGAAUUUGUAAUUUUGUAUUGAAGAAAGACUAGCCCUUUAUUUAACUGGGAAAACAUAAUCCAGGAGUGCAGCACAGACUGGGAUCCACCUGGCUGGAGAGCAGCUCUGUGGAAAGGGACCUGGGGGUCCUGGUGGACAGGAAGCUCAACAUGAGCCAACAGUGGCUGCUGCGGCCAAGAAGGCCAACAGGAUGCUGGGUUGCAUCAAAAAGGGCAUCGCCAGCACAGAUAAAGAGGUCAUCAUC
Non-coding RNA from Phalacrocorax carbo (great cormorant), 5983 nucleotides. Lineage: Eukaryota; Metazoa; Chordata; Aves; Suliformes; Phalacrocoracidae. The record is from RefSeq and is a predicted model, not a curated record.